Long non-coding RNA from Malania oleifera, 1186 nucleotides. RefSeq lists it as uncharacterized. Lineage: Eukaryota; Viridiplantae; Streptophyta; Magnoliopsida; Santalales; Ximeniaceae. The record is from RefSeq and is a predicted model, not a curated record. The transcript has 2 exons.
UCCAAUGGUGGAGCAAAGGCCACACGGCCUUCUGAGUGUAUGGAAGAUAGUCACUCCACGUGGCGACGUCCUUGGCUCCAGGGGAUGGGAUAUUUAAACUCAUUUUUUUAUUUGUCAUCAUUUUUCCUUCCUUCUCCUGCACACUGAAGCUCCUCUCUUCUCCCUUCUCUCUCGCCAUUAUUCUUACCCGAGCGGCAGAAACCCUAGCACCUUCCGCAAUCUUCCUCUUCCGAAGGAGGAGUUGGUGGAGAGAUCACAGGAGAUGACGCCAAAGCCAUCAUCGAGGAGAGAACUGCAGUCGUCGGAAGCCUCGUCGUCACCCAAGUAGCAGCCUCUCGGAUCUCUCUUUUAUUCUCGUUACCUCUAUAAGCUACUACCCAGAAUGUCCGAAUGUGAUCAACUGAUACUGAAAAUCCACGGAACACGGCAACUGCAAAAACAACUUCACUGCCAGCACACAAUCACUCUCUGGCAUCUCCGACCCAGCUCUUGUUAUGAUUCUUCACACAACACUCACGCAUGGAGAUCGUGUGAUCAGACUUCAUACUAGUUACCGUUCGCGGUGUCGGGGCUUGAUACGCACGUCGGACAUUCAGAGGGUUUGGCCGUCAAGAAAUCGGUAGGGCGGAACGCUAAAUGAUCUGAGCAAAAGCUUCAUAUUCCUCCCUAUGGUUAGAUCGAAAGGAACUUGAGACCAUCCAUUGGGACCACGUCGAACACCGGGUGAUGAUAUUGUGAUUCUUGAAGGAUGAAAUGGCCAUGUGGCAUGCUGGGACUUGCGGGCAUUUUGGAGGUCUCCAGCUCACAGCAUCAAACUGGGGAGUAGGGUAUUUUCAUUUUAUUUUGUAUUUCUUUUUCUGCUGCUACCUGAUUUUGCCCUUUUGUUUCUUUUGUGCGCAGGAGACUAGAGUGGUGCUUCCAGGUGGCAGUGUAGGAGAGAAGGGCAAGGAAUCUUCUUGUUGCAUAUGGAUUUUUAUUUUGCAUUUAUAUUUUUUAUUUCUUUUUGGCUGAUGCAUUCUGUAUGCACCCUGGGAAUUCUCUCCUGCAACCAUUCUUUGUGUACAAUUUUAUUUUCAUUUCCUUGUAUUUUUUUCUAUAUUUUGUAUUUUUAUUUUCUGCAUGCCUGUGUAUGUACCUUACCAAGGGCACCUGCCCCUCCUAAUACAUGAUUUCACAUGCGAUUUUU